AACGAACGCUGGCGGCAUGCCUAACACAUGCAAGUCGAACGAGACCUUCGGGUCUAGUGGCGCACGGGUGCGUAACGCGUGGGAACCUGCCCUUAGGUUCGGAAUAACUCCCCGACAGGGGUGCUAAUACCGGAUAAUGUCUUCGGACCAAAGAUUUAUCGCCUCAGGAUGGGCCCGCGUUGGUUUCGCUAGUUGGUAGGGUAAAAGCCUACCAAGGCGACGAUCCAUAGAUGGUCUGAGAGGAGGAUCAGCCACAUUGGGACUGAGACACGGCCCAAACUCCUACGGGAGGAAGCAGUGGGGAAUAGUGGAAAAUGGGCGCAAGCAUGAUCCAGCCAUGCCGCGUGAGUGAUGAAGGCCUGAGGGUUGUAAAGCUCUUUCACCGAUGAAGAUAAUGACGGUAGUCGGAGAAGAAGCCCCGGCUAACUUCGUG
RNAcentral lists this ribosomal RNA (433 nucleotides) under uncultured bacterium. Its description in RNAcentral is "partial 16S ribosomal RNA". It matches the Rfam family "Bacterial small subunit ribosomal RNA", at positions 29 to 507 of the family's 1533-position model. The record is from RNAcentral.